Molecule: ribosomal RNA, 2756 nt
Filed under: Salmonella enterica subsp. enterica
Lineage: Bacteria; Pseudomonadati; Pseudomonadota; Gammaproteobacteria; Enterobacterales; Enterobacteriaceae
Also listed under: 1 other name
Description: partial 23S ribosomal RNA
Rfam family: Bacterial large subunit ribosomal RNA
Source: RNAcentral
ACGGUGGAUGCCCUGGCAGUCAGAGGCGAUGAAGGGCGUGCUAAUCUGCGAUAAGCGCCGGUAAGGUGAUAUGAACCGUUAUAACCGGCGAUACCCGAAUGGGGAAACCCAGUGUGACUCGUCACACUAUCAUUAACUGAAUCCAUAGGUUAAUGAGGCGAACCGGGGGAACUGAAACAUCUAAGUACCCCGAGGAAAAGAAAUCAACCGAGAUUCCCCCAGUAGCGGCGAGCGAACGGGGAGGAGCCCAGAGCCUGAAUCAGCAUGUGUGUUAGUGGAAGCGUCUGGAAAGGCGCGCGAUACAGGGUGACAGCCCCGUACACAAAAGCGCAUGUGCUGUGAGCUCGAUGAGUAGGGCGGGACACGUGGUAUCCUGUCUGAAUAUGGGGGGACCAUCCUCCAAGGCUAAAUACUCCUGACUGACCGAUAGUGAACCAGUACCGUGAGGGAAAGGCGAAAAGAACCCCGGCGAGGGGAGUGAAAAAGAACCUGAAACCGUGUACGUACAAGCAGUGGGAGCACCCUUUGGGUGUGACUGCGUACCUUUUGUAUAAUGGGUCAGCGACUUAUAUUCUGUAGCAAGGUUAACCGAAUAGGGGAGCCGGAGGGAAACCGAGUCUUAAUUGGGCGUUAAGUUGCAGGGUAUAGACCCGAAACCCGGUGAUCUAGCCAUGGGCAGGUUGAAGGUUGGGUAACACUAACUGGAGGACCGAACCGACUAAUGUUGAAAAAUUAGCGGAUGACCUGUGGCUGGGGGUGAAAGGCCAAUCAAACCGGGAGAUAGCUGGUUCUCCCCGAAAGCUAUUUAGGUAGCGCCUCGUGAAUUCAUCUCCGGGGGUAGAGCACUGUUUCGGCUAGGGGGCCAUCCCGGCUUACCAACCCGAUGCAAACUGCGAAUACCGGAGAAUGUUAUCACGGGAGACACACGGCGGGUGCUAACGUCCGUCGUGAAGAGGGAAACAACCCAGACCGCCAGCUAAGGUCCCAAAGUCAUGGUUAAGUGGGAAACGAUGUGGGAAGGCCCAGACAGCCAGGAUGUUGGCUUAGAAGCAGCCAUCAUUUAAAGAAAGCGUAAUAGCUCACUGGUCGAGUCGGCCUGCGCGGAAGAUGUAACGGGGCUAAACCAUGCACCGAAGCUGCGGCAGCGACGCUUAUGCGUUGUUGGGUAGGGGAGCGUUCUGUAAGCCUGCGAAGGUGGCCUGUGAGGGUUGCUGGAGGUAUCAGAAGUGCGAAUGCUGACAUAAGUAACGAUAAAGCGGGUGAAAAGCCCGCUCGCCGGAAGACCAAGGGUUCCUGUCCAACGUUAAUCGGGGCAGGGUGAGUCGACCCCUAAGGCGAGGCCGAAAGGCGUAGUCGAUGGGAAACGGGUUAAUAUUCCCGUACUUGGUGUUACUGCGAAGGGGGGACGGAGAAGGCUAUGUUGGCCGGGCGACGGUUGUCCCGGUUUAAGCGUGUAGGCUGGUUUUCCAGGCAAAUCCGGAAAAUCAAGGCUGAGGCGUGAUGACGAGGCACUACGGUGCUGAAGCAACAAAUGCCCUGCUUCCAGGAAAAGCCUCUAAGCAUCAGGUAACAUCAAAUCGUACCCCAAACCGACACAGGUGGUCAGGUAGAGAAUACCAAGGCGCUUGAGAGAACUCGGGUGAAGGAACUAGGCAAAAUGGUGCCGUAACUUCGGGAGAAGGCACGCUGACACGUAGGUGAAGUGAUUUACUCACGGAGCUGAAGUCAGUCGAAGAUACCAGCUGGCUGCAACUGUUUAUUAAAAACACAGCACUGUGCAAACACGAAAGUGGACGUAUACGGUGUGACGCCUGCCCGGUGCCGGAAGGUUAAUUGAUGGGGUCAGCGCAAGCGAAGCUCCUGAUCGAAGCCCCGGUAAACGGCGGCCGUAACUAUAACGGUCCUAAGGUAGCGAAAUUCCUUGUCGGGUAAGUUCCGACCUGCACGAAUGGCGUAAUGAUGGCCAGGCUGUCUCCACCCGAGACUCAGUGAAAUUGAACUCGCUGUGAAGAUGCAGUGUACCCGCGGCAAGACGGAAAGACCCCGUGAACCUUUACUAUAGCUUGACACUGAACAUUGAGCCUUGAUGUGUAGGAUAGGUGGGAGGCUUUGAAGUGUGGACGCCAGUCUGCAUGGAGCCGACCUUGAAAUACCACCCUUUAAUGUUUGAUGUUCUAACGUGGACCCGUUACCCGGGUUGCGGACAGUGUCUGGUGGGUAGUUUGACUGGGGCGGUCUCCUCCUAAAGAGUAACGGAGGAGCACGAAGGUUGGCUAAUCCUGGUCGGACAUCAGGAGGUUAGUGCAAUGGCAUAAGCCAGCUUGACUGCGAGCGUGACGGCGCGAGCAGGUGCGAAAGCAGGUCAUAGUGAUCCGGUGGUUCUGAAUGGAAGGGCCAUCGCUCAACGGAUAAAAGGUACUCCGGGGAUAACAGGCUGAUACCGCCCAAGAGUUCAUAUCGACGGCGGUGUUUGGCACCUCGAUGUCGGCUCAUCACAUCCUGGGGCUGAAGUAGGUCCCAAGGGUAUGGCUGUUCGCCAUUUAAAGUGGUACGCGAGCUGGGUUUAGAACGUCGUGAGACAGUUCGGUCCCUAUCUGCCGUGGGCGCUGGAGAACUGAGGGGGGCUGCUCCUAGUACGAGAGGACCGGAGUGGACGCAUCACUGGUGUUCGGGUUGUCAUGCCAAUGGCACUGCCCGGUAGCUAAAUGCGGAAGAGAUAAGUGCUGAAAGCAUCUAAGCACGAAACUUGCCCCGAG